GUGCCAGCAGCCGCGGUAAUACGUAGGGUGCAAGCGUUAAUCGGAAUUACUGGGCGUAAAGCGUGCGCAGGCGGUUUUGUAAGACGGAUGUGAAAUCCCCGGGCUCAACCUGGGAACUGCAUUCGUGACUGCAAGGCUAGAGUAUGGCAGAGGGGGGUAGAAUUCCACGUGUAGCAGUGAAAUGCGUAGAGAUGUGGAGGAAUACCGAUGGCGAAGGCAGCCCCCUGGGCCAAUACUGACGCUCAUGCACGAAAGCGUGGGGAGCAAACAGGAUUAGAUACCCUGGUAGUCC
RNAcentral lists this ribosomal RNA (292 nucleotides) under uncultured microorganism. Its description in RNAcentral is "partial 16S ribosomal RNA". It matches the Rfam family "Bacterial small subunit ribosomal RNA", at positions 505 to 796 of the family's 1533-position model. The record is from RNAcentral.